Non-coding RNA from Zootoca vivipara (common lizard), 4045 nucleotides. Lineage: Eukaryota; Metazoa; Chordata; Lepidosauria; Squamata; Lacertidae. The record is from RefSeq and is a predicted model, not a curated record.
GUUGGUCUUUAAGGUGCUACUGAAGGAAUUUUUUUAUUUUACUUCGACCCAGACCAACACGGCUACCUACCUGUAACCAGUACAUAUAUUUCUGUUAGUCAUUCAUUCAUCCUUCACACAAUGCAUUGGCCUGUUACUUUCCUGACUGCAAAUAAUAAAAUAAAAUAAAUUAUUCAAAAGACUGGAUUUAUUGCACUAGGGAGCAAGAAGCCUUUCAUCCACUUUUAGUGGCACAAUCUAAAUUCCUGGUAUGCACUUGAAUCCCUCCUGCAAAACACCAUAGUUCAGGGUAGAUAAAAGAAAGUUAUCCUUCAGGCAGCUCAACUGUGGAACUCAUCCAAACUGGAGGCAGUGAUGGCCAUCAAUCUACAAGGCUUUUAAGGAAGAAUAGACAAAUUCAUGGAGGAGAGGGCUAUUGAGGGCUACUAGCCGUUGAGGAAGAAAUACUUCUGAAUACCAAUUGCUGGAAACCCCAGGAGGGGUGAGUGCUCUUGUGCUCUGGUCCUGCUUGCAAUUGAUUUGGCCACUGUGAGAAUAGGAUGCUGGACUGGAUUUGCCACUGACCUGAUCCAGUAGGCUCUUCUUAUUUGCAUAUAUUCUGGAGUCAUGUGGUUUAGAAAAGUAGUGGAACUUUUUUCCUUUCCUUGGCUGGCUGCUCUUGCCUCUCCUACUGGCAAUACUGGCUUCACUUCUUAAUCCAGCACAAGGAAAAGAUUACUCAUUAACACUCAUUAAAGUGACCACAGAACACACACACACCCCAAAAAGCUCAGAAAUAGGCACAGAUGGUUCUGCUGGCAAGAACGGGAAAGAUCCAGUUUGCAAGGAGGAACUUUGAUUUGAGGGUUAAUAGAGGAAGCUACAGGUAGCUUGGGGGGGGGGUAGGUCUCGCAACAACCGUUAAGCAUAGCGCACCUGUGAAUAGCAACGCUGGAGACAAAACAGUUGGGAGGGGCUGCAGAUUUCAUGUCCCUCCAGUUGAGGGCUUCCCAGCGAUCUGGCUGGACACUAUUUGAAACUAGAACUUGAUUUGUUCCAGGAGGGUGGGUGUCUCCUUUAAAACCUUGGAGCAAUGGACAGCUGAAACUUGCCCAUAGCAGAAUAGCAAUGGGACUCUUCUAGUAGACUUCCUUUGAAGCGAUUUCUUGGACUUUUAUAAUGGGGGUGGGACACCUCAGGCCAUGGGGUCUGAGGAGCCACUGCCAGCCAGGGUUGACAAUAUUGAAUGCAGUAGACCAGGCAUCCCCAAACUUCGGCCCUCCAGAUGUUUUGGACAACAAUUCCCAUCAUCCCUGACCACUGGCCCUGUUAGCUAGGGAUCAUGGGAGUUGUAGGCCAAAACAUCUGGAGGGCCGCAGUUUGGGGAUGCCUGCAGUAGACUAAUCUGACCUUGUAUCAGGCAGCUUUACAUGUUCCUAUGAUGCUGAGUCUUGCUUGCCUGACAGGAGGAUAUUAAGUAUGUAAGUGUGUGCAGAAGCUACUUAAUAAUAAUAAUAAUAAUAAUAAUAAUAAUAAUAAUAAUAAUAAUAUUUAUACCCCGCCCAUCUGGCUGGGUUUCCGCAGCCACUCUGGGAGGCUCCCAACUGAAGACUAAAAACAGAAUAAAACUUCAAACAUUAAAAACUAACCCUAAACAAGGCAGGAAGCAAAGGAAAUCCAUCAUCAAGGAGGUGGCAUUUGCUACCAAGAAGCAUCCACCUCUGCAGGGCUUUUCAUAGGGCAGGGGAAGUGGGUAAUCUUUACACAGUAACAUCCUGUGAAGCGGAAAUGCUGGUUUGCAUUUUGCAUAUACCAAAAAAGGAAAAAAGAAAGAAAAAAGGUAGCAUUUAUUUUUCUGUCCAUUCCAUUCAGUCCAGGCCAAACUCAUUGUUAACUUCAGAGAGUCGCUGACGUCACAACGUUUCAUUUCUACCCCAGGUUCUCCCAGCCAAACCAAACAGUAAUGAACUGUCUCAUCUAGUCUAAACAUUUGUUAAGGGCUACCUGUUCAAGCGACGAUAGAAUGAAAGCGUAAAAGGAUGCUGGUGCAUUAGGAUGACAAACUGUCACUGCAAUAGAUGGAUGACUGGGAUGAUGAGAAUCUUUUGCAAAAUGAUAACAUAUUGAUCCUGCAGAGAUAGAUGGGUGGAGAGGGUAUAAAGGAGGGUCCAAGCACUCAGGCUGCUGCGAGAUCCUCACAGUUUGGCCAAGCUGCAAAAGGGGACAAUGAAGAUGGAGUUCCAGAUUCUGGCGUAUGUCAUGGUAGCACUUUCAUCUAUCUGCUGCGUAGCAGCCUAUCCUGUUUACCCAGACAUUGAGGCCAUGCAAGGUAAGGAACAAUCUUGAUUAUGAUUUGGAGUGGAAGUUGGUCAGUGCUGUUGUGAUGGUUUCAUGCUAGGCUACAAAUGCAUGUCAACAUAAGCAGAGCAUUGCUAGAUCAGACCAAGGCCCAUCUUGGCCUUCCCUAAUCUGGUGCCUUCCAUCAGGCUGUAACUCUCUUCAGUCCUUCUUUACAUGGUCAAUGGGAGUUGUAGUCCAAAAGUCCAAUGGUUGUACUCCAAUGGUCAGGGAUGAGGGGAGUUGUAGUCCUUCUGGAGAGCACCAGAUUAAGGAACUUCUGGUGCAUCUGCCCUGCUUCCCAUAGUAGGAAAGUUACAAGCACACUUUUUUUUUUAUGUUCUGCCCAGAUUUUGUACCUACGGAUUUUAACUUGGUGGAUAACGCUGUUGGAUUCAUACCUGAUGAUGCAGCUUCUUUUGGACUUCGUCCAUCCCGGAAUCUGAAUGCAGCUCACUCUGCCCUGGAAGAAGGAAUUAAUCAGGUCCAGAAAAGUAGACAAUGGAAUGGAGGCAAGGAGUCACUGCAAGAUGACGGUGCCGAUAACCUGGUAGAGGAUAUAAAAGCCAUUCUGUGGAAGCUGUCAGCAGCAGACAAGUUCCGCAGCCAUGCCUUUGUCAAAGCGGACCAGUCUCCUCAGAAGCCGAGCAAGAGAGCUUGUUUCUGGAAGUACUGUGUUACCAACUGAAGGCAAGGAUCCGACUGAUCUUCUCUGCACAUGUGUGCCCGUCUCCCCAAAUGCCUCCCAGAGACUGUCUUCAAACCCAGUCUGUCCGGAAUGUGGGCUCCUUGCUUACACCUGCGCUUCAAUGCAUCAGUUAACCUUGAAUCAUGCCAUGCCAUUUUGGUUAUGCAGAAGAAUUUGCUUUGCCUUGCAGAUAGAAUCCUUCAUAUCACCACAACAGCCCCAUGGUGGAGAACAGAAACCACUUCUGAUACAGCUGCUGGCUUUGUUCAUGGCAUAGCAGAUAAGGAAAAGAGAGAGCUCAAGGAAAGAGCUUGCACCUUCGUUAAACUGGGUGGGGUAGCUGUGGAAGAGUCUGUUCUUGCAUAUAUUAGUGAAAAUAAAAUAGGCAUAAUAAAGGGGGUAGUUGCCUCAUAUAAAAUGUGUAUACACAAAUGGGCGUAUUAGGAUCAAUUCUCACUAAAAUGCUGGUGGGUUUUCAUGAGGUCUGUUAAAAAAACGAAAACAAACAAUGUGGAAAUAUGGAGAACUGAACUGAACAUUUGGAGGGUGGGGUGAAUGAGAAACUGAAAUUGAUAAGACUCAUCCAUUCCUAAUUGCAAGUGAUGGUUUGUUCCCCGAGUGCUGCAAGGUGUCUGCCAUAGAAUGCUUGCUCACUUGGGGAGCAAGUAAAGUCACAGUCUGUCCCAUUUGAUCACUGUGGUUAAUGAUGCCAGGCUAUAGGCCCUGCUGUGUAAGGGAGUGAAGAUCUCAUGCCCUGUUCCCCACCCCCAACAACUGUUUAGACUGGGGUGAUUAUCCAAAGCAAGACCCCAAACAAUAAUGAUUUUGGACAACAUAUCCCCUCAUCCUGCAUCCUUCAGCAUUAAUAUGACCUACUUCAUUGACCCCCAUGACAGCAAGCCUGUGUUGUUUUUCCUUGUUGUACUGAUUAAAAUAUUUCUGUAUUUAUUACUGGGAUUAUUGUCUUUUUGUUUGCAUUGCUGUCUGUUUCCAUGGUCAUGCCUUCAGCUAAUUUUGGUUGUGCAAUGCUCAAUAAAGAAC